AGUAGCGUAAGGGUGCGUAACACGUAUGCAAUCUGCCCUGUACAGGAGAAUAGCUCGGCGAAAGCCGGAUUAAUACUCCGUAAUAUUACUGAAUGGCAUCAUUUGGUAAUUAAAGUCGCAAGACGGUAUGGGAUGAGCAUGCGUCUGAUUAGCUAGUUGGUGGUGUAACGGACCACCAAGGCGAUGAUCAGUAGGGGAACUGAGAGGUUGAUCCCCCACACUGGCACUGAGAUACGGGCCAGACUCCUACGGGAGGCAGCAGUAGGGAAUAUUGGUCAAUGGAUGCAAGUCUGAACCAGCCAUGCCGCGUGCAGGAAGAAGGCCUUCUGGGUUGUAAACUGCUUUUGCCGGGGGAUAAAAAGUCCAUGCGUGGACAAUUGAAGGUACCCGGUGAAUAAGCCACGGCUAACUACGUGCCAGCAGCCGCGGUAAUACGUAGGUGGCAAGCGUUGUCCGGAUUUAUUGGGUUUAAAGGGUGCGUAGGCGGCCUAUUAAGUCAGUUCUGAAAUAUCCCGGCUUAACCGGGAGGGUGGGAUUGAUACUGAUGGGCUUGAGUGGAAUCGAGGUAGGCGGAAUUGACGGUGUAGCGGUGAAAUGCUUAGAUAUCGUCAAGAACACCGAUAGUGUAGACAGCUUACUAGACUUCAACUGACGCUGAGGCACGAAAGUGUGGGGAUCAAACAGGAUUAGAUACCCUGGUAGUCCACACUGU
Molecule: ribosomal RNA, 712 nt
Filed under: uncultured Cytophagaceae bacterium
Lineage: Bacteria; Pseudomonadati; Bacteroidota; Cytophagia; Cytophagales; Cytophagaceae
Description: bacterial SSU rRNA
Rfam family: Bacterial small subunit ribosomal RNA
Source: RNAcentral